CCCCCGCCUCUGACUUCAUCACCCCGCAAAAUCCAGCCGUCGCACCCUCUCGCGACGCCCGCGAUUCCAUGGCUGUCACGUCUCCAUCCUCGCCCCGCAUGCCCUGGUCGUCGGCGUCGCCCAGGCGAUUUCGUGCCCCCACACAUUUCCCUCCAUCGCAAUGUUGCCCGUUGUGCCCCUGUCCAUGGCACCCCGACCCUCACCUCACCCUCUUCCUCCCCACACCCCCGCGUUCCCCCACUCCUGCCGCGCUCGCCACCCCGCCUUCCCCAUGAAUCCUGUUUUUGCGCCACGGGUAAGUCCCCGUCAUUUUCUUCAUCACCGGAGCCAGAGUCGGGGCGCAAAGACGGCGACGCGUCCUUGUCGCUGCAUUGCGCUGCUCGUCCUAGCGGCACAUUAUGGCAUGGAAGACGGCAAGGAAGUUGCGGUACUUGAAGGGCUGCUCGAGCAUGCAGAUUUGCUUUCCCCUGGCGGUCGUGGGGUCCUCCACCGGCGACGAGGGCAAGUGGAAGUGGGGCUCCAGCGGCUGGAAGGCAGAGGGGAGGAGCAGGUCGACGCGACGCGUGCAUAGCUGCUCAGCCACCGCGUGCCCCCCUCCGCUAAGACAACCGCAGUCUCCCCCUCGCCCACAGAUCGCCGUGGCUGCGCCUACCAACCCACACCGCUCCUCCCCUCCCCGUCCCUUUCACCACCAAGGUCGCAUCGAGUCCACCGUUGGUGUCGGUUCCUUCCUCGCAAUUCCAUCAGCAAAAGCAGACUGUACUACCAACUAGAGAAGAGGCUUAGAUCCACUGCACACUGAACCCUAUGCCAGGGGAAGCUCUCACGUCGCGCCCGCCCAUGGACCGCCUCGUCGACGACCUUGCCGCGGCAACCCUCUCCGAUCUAGCGGACCAGGGCACCGCCACCAUCGGUUUGCUUAACACUGAUUCCUCCUCAGCAUCAUGUGCACCGUAGCGUAGAGGGUACCAACGCCAUCAUCCACAACCAGGUAACGUGUUCAAUCCCCCGUUUCCCAUCGCUUCGCUUCUAACCCAGACCAGUUUCGGUUCGUUUAUUGUCCCACCAGCCAAAUGGUAAUGAUUUUUUGGUGUAAUAUAAUAUAAUAAAAAACAUAAAUACUAGCUUAGUUUGAUUUUUCGA
Zea mays is the source of this 1143-nucleotide long non-coding RNA. RefSeq lists it as uncharacterized. NCBI's taxonomy places the organism in Eukaryota, Viridiplantae, Streptophyta, Magnoliopsida, Poales, Poaceae. The record is from RefSeq and is a predicted model, not a curated record. The transcript is spliced from 2 exons.